RNAcentral lists this long non-coding RNA (578 nucleotides) under Gallus gallus (chicken). Its description in RNAcentral is "long non-coding RNA NONGGAT005098". The record is from RNAcentral. Lineage: Eukaryota; Metazoa; Chordata; Aves; Galliformes; Phasianidae.
AGGCAACGCACUGGCCUGAGUGAGAUGGAGAGGAGGCAACCUGUGAACAAAUGCAAACCCCAAGGAAAGUCUCAGAUCUUUUAAAAUGAAAGAGAACCCCUCAGGAAGGGAGAGAUGUGCAGAGGCACAGCUGCUGCCAGCAGGGAGCUGCUCAUCAAGAGCUCCUCUGAAGGCAGACUGCAGCAAGGAGGAGCGCUGGCCUUUGGAGCACGGGGCUUCUGCUGGCACCAGGCACAUCCAUGACGGGAGGGCAAACAAGCACAUCUUGGGCUAGUAUUCCACUGUAAGAGGAUGACUUUCCUGGAUCUCUGCUGGUGGAGAAUGACCAGGAGCUGUGGGCGAAGCCAACUGACAGACCUGAAGGUAAUCUUCUGAGAAGCACACCCUGCACAGAAUCAUAGGAUCGUGGAAUCAUUUGAACUGGAAGGGACUUUUAAAGGCCACCUGGUCCAACCCCCCUGCAAUGAGCAGAGACACCUACAGCUCCAUCAGGUGCUCAGAGCUGUGUUCAGCCCCACUUUGCAUGUCUCCAGGAAUGGGGCAUCCCCUAUGAAAUGUAUAAAUAACUCUGAAACGUG